RNAcentral lists this long non-coding RNA (3079 nucleotides) under Sus scrofa (pig). RNAcentral describes it as "lncRNA (ENSSSCG00005030338.1)". The record is from RNAcentral. Lineage: Eukaryota; Metazoa; Chordata; Mammalia; Artiodactyla; Suidae.
UUUCAAAGGUGCUGGAGGGUUAGUUUUAUUUAAAGAAAAGGAGAGUAGGAGUUCCCGUUGUGGCUCAGCGGAAAUGAAUAUAACUAGUAUCCAUGAGGACGCAGGUUUGUUCUGGCCUCGCUCAGUGGGUUAAGGAUUUGGGUAUUGCUGCGAGCUGUGGUUCGCAGACGCGGUUUGGAUCCCAUGUUGCUGUGGCUGUGGUGUAGCCUGGCAGCUGCAGCUCAAUUCGACCCCUAGCCUGGGAACCUCCAUAUGCCCCCAGUGUGGCCCUAAAGACCAAACAAAAGGAAAAGAAGAGUAGAGCUUUGAGCUUGGUCCAUGGCAGGUCUUGCUCAAAGCUGCUGCCUCCAGGAAGCCUUCCCUGGUAGCUUCUAUUCACACUUUGUUCUUCCCCUAAUUGCCCUGUUACCCUCCUGCUGACAUAGGAAAGAAACAGAUGCGACAUCGCCUCUAUCCAGGCGAGGAAGUGACCCCAUGUCUGUGGAAGGUCUGAGGAUGCCCGGAAGGCGAGGCCUCGUGGCUGAGCAGGGUCAGGGUUCUGCUCCCCUUUGACCCGCUCCAUGAGUGGCCUCCCACCUCCUCCCCCGCUGCCCCCUCUCCUCCCGUGAAAUCAGCAGCUCUUGGAGGAGGAGGAGGCCUGGCAGCUUGGAAAGCAGAAAGCCCUGGAGACAGGACAGCCGGGGAGGGGAGGCCGAGGCGUGGGGGCAGGCAGGGUGCCCCUCCCCCACGUGUCUUGGGAUCUGUUCUGGGGGCAAAGGGGGAAGCCGAGGCUUGGCCCCCACAAACAAGAAAAACUGGAAUUAGCCCUGAACUCAGAGAGGGUUUGCUGGGGCUUAGCAAGCUGUGGCCUGCCCCAGGCCUCUAGGCAGGCACUGGGGCUCAGCCUCCCUGGUUCCCAGGCGGCGGGGCAGGCUGCCGCCUCCUCACUGGGCCUUGAGGCCUUUCCUCCGCCAAGGGCGGUCCUGGGGGAGGAGGAGGCAAGACACGGGGCAGAGAGACAGAGAGGGCGGGGGUGGGGGGCAAGUCACCCCGAUAACCAGGCAGGUAGGUAAAGCAAAACCUUGCAGACUUUAAAAAGAACGUGUAAUUUCUCGAAACGGUCCCAGCCCACGUUGGCUUAGAACCGUCAGCUGCUCCAGUGACCGUUUCCCCGGGGUGUAAACAGAAGGUAAGAAGAGUUUUGCCUUUUUACCCUCAGAGAGAGUAAACUCUGAAAGCCCUGCCAGGCUCCAGGGCUACUUCCUCCCAGGCCCUGUGCUUUCAGGCAUGAGGGUGUGUGCCCUCCUGUGGUUGGCAAUUGCUGCUGCUAAGGGGGUGCCCGGGGCCUGUCCUCACGGGGCGGUCAUCGCAGUGGGGGGGCUUGGCCCAGGGUGGGCACGGUGGAGAGGCAGACGCUGGGGCUGGCUCCUUGCUGGGUGGCAUGUGUGGAGCACCCAGCACAGGCCUGCCGGGGGCUCCCCAUCUUGGGUGGGCAGGGCAGGCCCUGCUGGGGUAGGCGGCGACCACACAGCCCAGAGCCAACAGGGAGGGGUGGAGGGUCCUACUGCUUGUGGCCUCUGCCUGGCCCCCCACGGUCCGGCCUGAGGGCUGUGGCAAAGCAAGGUAUGAGCAAGGCUCCUGGGGAGCCAGAGCUGUGAGGGAUCUGGAAGGGAGUGUGGUCAAAGGGCCUCUGGAGCCUGGCAGUCCAGUGCCAGGCCUGCCCGAGUCCCCAAGAGGCCGUGGCAACUUCAGGCAGAGAGUCCCUCUCCUCCUCCCNNNNNNNNNNNNNNNNNNNNNNNNNNNNNNNNUCCCCCCACCCCCAACACCAGGAGACUCUUCGGGCUUUGGUAUCCUCAGCCUGGAGCCUUGUCCUCCUCCUGCCAUUUAUUUGCCUUGGUUGGGAGAAGUCACCCCUUAAUGUGCAGAGGGGCUCGGGAUGGGUGGAGAGCUCAUGAGGCCAGGAUCUCCGCCAGAGAAUAUGCUGCGAUUAUUUACAAAUGUGACCUGGCCCAAAGACAACCUUGGAAGUAGCUUUCCUCGUUUUAAAAAGACACCAAAACUGACUUUGAUAUGUUUAUAUUAUAGAUAUAAUACAUAAACAUCUAGCAUGAAACUCUACGUUCUCCCCCAAAGAAGAGAACCAAGCUGGCCUUCCCCGCUCCCAGGCCCAGCGAUCUGAUGUGUGUGUGCUGGCCGGAGGCUGCCUCCCUUCCAGACCGGGAGCCAGGGCCUCUGUUUGGGGCGGGGAGGGGGGGGACAAGCCUGUGGGCAGCCAGGGCUGGAGGGGACCGAGGCCCACAGCCCCCCCCCCCGGGGUGGGGGAAGCUGAGGGGAAAGGGGAAGCCCACCUCGCCUCUUUGGUUCCCCUGGGAGCAAAAGCAAUCCCAAAACCAAAAGGAAAGACAGCCGCAGACCCUCCCUGCAGCUGCUGACGAAGAGUCUCAUUUUGGCAAGUAUCUGAGCAAAACCAAAACAAAACAAAAACCAAAUAAAAUGGUGGUUUAGCAUAGACGUGCACAUUCACAUUGCACAAGGCACCGCUGGGACACAGAGAGGCCAGAUACAAAUGUUGAUAUCGGCUGAUAAAGCAAAAUAUUUGGAAAGCUUCUCAUAACUUCGGUCCCUCUGGGAUGGACUGAUUGUGCUUCGUGUUUGUAUGGCAAUGCUGGCGACAUACAGUACAGACAAGACUGGUGGUCCCAGUGUCCCAUUACCACCCCCACCCCACCUCGUCCCACCCCCCAGACCAGAUCUCUAGGUUCCCUGCUCCCACCGGGCCACCACCCCCAGGAACAUAUGGCCUCAGAGCUAACCCAGGACCUAGUUUUCUCAUCUGACUGGGGGCAGGAGACUCCCACUGGUCACCUGGUGACUCCUAUCUCAAAUGAGUCCAGCCGCAAGAGCCCAGCCUGUGGCAGGCUGGGAGUUCAGAGGCAAGGAACUUGGGACCCUCCACCUUCAUAUAGAACUAGGGGAACAACCUUAGGUUCAAAGCCCCAAGUCCCUGUGUUUCCUCCCCUCCAAGGACAGGCGCUGAGGAGCGGCUGGGGCUGGUUUAUAGGGAUCUCUGCUCCCUGAACCUUCCUCCUGCCCCCCCCCC